Molecule: transfer RNA, 72 nt
Filed under: Ovis aries (sheep)
Lineage: Eukaryota; Metazoa; Chordata; Mammalia; Artiodactyla; Bovidae
Rfam family: tRNA
About the family: Transfer RNA (tRNA) molecules are approximately 80 nucleotides in length.
Source: Rfam by way of RNAcentral
UCCCUGGUGGCUCAGACGGUAAAGAAUCCGCCUGCAAUGCAGGAGACCCAGGUUCAAUCCCUGGACUGGGAA